GAUGAACGCUGGCGGCGUGCCUAAUACAUGCAAGUCGAGCGGUAACACUUCGGGUGACGAGCGGCGGACGGCUGAGUAACGCGUAGGAACAUACCCCAAAGUGAGGGAUAAGCACCGGAAACGGUGUCUAAUACCGCAUGUGGUCUUCGGAUUAAAGCUUCGGCGCUUUGGGAACGGCCUGCGUAUGAUUAGCUUGUUGGUGAGGUAAUGGCUCACCAAGGCGACGAUCAUUGGCUGGUCUGAGAGGAUGAUCAGCCAGACUGGGACUGAGAACGGCCCAGACUCCUACGGGAGGCAGCAGUAGGGAAUUUUCCACAAUGGACGAAAGUCUGAUGGUGCAACGCCGCGUGCAGGAUGAAUGCCUUCGGGUUGUAAACUGCUUUUCUCUGUGACGAUUAUGACGGUAGCAGAGGAGUAAGGAUCGGCUAGCUCCGUGCCAGCAGCCGCCGUAA
RNAcentral lists this ribosomal RNA (452 nucleotides) under uncultured bacterium. Its description in RNAcentral is "partial 16S ribosomal RNA". It matches the Rfam family "Bacterial small subunit ribosomal RNA", at positions 28 to 523 of the family's 1533-position model. The record is from RNAcentral.